Molecule: unclassified non-coding RNA, 419 nt
Filed under: Logania fasciculata
Lineage: Eukaryota; Viridiplantae; Streptophyta; Magnoliopsida; Gentianales; Loganiaceae
Description: partial external transcribed spacer
Source: RNAcentral
GGAUCCUUGCUUGAGCAACGACGUCCUCCCAUUCAUGCCUUUUCAUUGUUGGUCCAAGUGCAACCUUUGCCUUGGCCGUCUAUUGGGUUUCCUGUGUUGCAUACCUAGUGCGAUGGUACUCGUUUGUAACAAUCGUCCCUCGUUCGUCCAGUGAAGCCCGUUUGACGUGUGCGUCACCCGAUGAACAACGAAGUGCUCCUCGCGGUCCACAACGCUCGCGUUAAUUCGUGCGGCGUCUGUGGCCCGUGUCGAGUUGCUUGUGCUCACGGAUGCAGAAACCGUUGAGGGUACGGGGCAAUGUUCCCUAUCUACCCAAAACGAAGCGUUCACCGCUAACUAGCGUACGACUGUCGUGGCCGUCUUUGGUUGGCCGACUCUUUGGGUCGUGCCUUCUCGAGCGGCACCGACGUCAAUGAGGA